RNAcentral lists this ribosomal RNA (433 nucleotides) under uncultured bacterium. Its description in RNAcentral is "partial 16S ribosomal RNA". It matches the Rfam family "Bacterial small subunit ribosomal RNA", at positions 29 to 507 of the family's 1533-position model. The record is from RNAcentral.
AACGAACGCUGGCGGCAUGCCUAACACAUGCAAGUCGAACGAGACCUUCGGGUCUAGUGGCGCACGGGUGCGUAACGCGUGGGAACCUGCCCUUAGGUUCGGAAUAACUCCCCGAAAGGGGUGCUAAUACCGGAUAAUGUCUUCGGACCAAAGAUUUAUCGCCUUUGGAUGGGCCCGCGUUGGAUUAGCUAGUUGGUAGGGUAAAAGCCUACCAAGGCGACGAUCCAUAGCUGGUCUGAGAGGAUGAUCAGCCACACUGGGACUGAGACACGGCCCAGACUCCUACGGGAGGCAGCAGUGGGGAAUAUUGGACAAUGGGCGAAAGCCUGAUCCAGCAAUGCUGCGUGAGUGAUGAAGGACUUAGGGUUGUAAAGCUCUUUUACCCGGGACGAUAAUGACAGUACCGGGAGAAUAAGCUCCGGCUAACUCCGUG